RNAcentral lists this small RNA (633 nucleotides) under Histoplasma ohiense. Its description in RNAcentral is "hypothetical lncRNA". The stretch from base 1 to 270 matches the Rfam family "A. fumigatus sRNA Afu_309", at positions 136 to 322 of the family's 322-position model. The record is from RNAcentral. Lineage: Eukaryota; Fungi; Ascomycota; Eurotiomycetes; Onygenales; Ajellomycetaceae.
GGUGUCAAUUUCCGGUCGACAGAUCUCAGAGAGAACCUCAGCGGCCCAGUUUUUCCUUUUUGCCUUGUGUGAAAGGGAAUUUAACACUCUGCCUUGAGCUCCCUCCCCGUUUCGACGGGCUGGUGAAUUCGGUAAGGUGGCUGGGCUCCUUCUGAGGGCGUCAUAUUCCACCUCCCUUUACCGAUCUUGGUCCCUUUUCCAAUUACCUGGGGAAGGGAUUGUGGCCGUCGGCUGAUGAGGUUAGGGAAAAACCAUGACCUGCCAACAUAUAAUUGUUUGAUUCGACUGUUUAAUUCUGGCUAGCUCAUCUCGUUUGGGAGGAGGAUGUAAAGAAAGAGAGAUUGGCCCCAAAAAUGCCAUCAGUUAUGAUAUUCCACGGAGCUUGAAGCGUAUUGAAUAGAGCCUGCAAUCGGCCCCUCCAGACCAUUCUCUAUUUUUUUUCAAUUCUGUCUAUAACUGCAACGGUAUCCCAUGUGCGAGGUGUGUUGUAAACAACCAAUGAAUGAAACCCAUAACUGUCAUCAAAUAACACGAAUGUGAAAACUCCUGUACACCACAGACCGACCCACGCCAUAUUUCUAUCUAAACAAAGCAGAGCGCUCACUCACGGAAAACCGGAGAAAAAUAAAGUGA